This 253-nucleotide ribosomal RNA is filed under the name uncultured bacterium. Its description in RNAcentral is "partial 16S ribosomal RNA". It matches the Rfam family "Bacterial small subunit ribosomal RNA", at positions 524 to 776 of the family's 1533-position model. The record is from RNAcentral.
UACGUAGGGUGCGAGCGUUAAUCGGAAUUACUGGGCGUAAAGUGUGCGCAGGCGGCCGAGCAAGUCGAGUGUGAAAGCCCCGAGCUUAACUUGGGAACUGCGCUCGAAACUACUUGGCUAGAGUGUGGCAGUGGGAGGUGGAAUUCCACGUGUAGCGGUGAAAUGCGUAGAGAUGUGGAGGAACACCGAUGGCGAAGGCAGCCUCCUGGGCCAACACUGACGCUCAUGCACGAAAGCGUGGGGAGCAAACAGG